UGGGGAAUAUUGCACAAUGGGCGCAAGCCUGAUGCAGCCAUGCCGCGUGUGUGAAGAAGGCCUUCGGGUUGUAAAGCACUUUCAGCGAGGAGGAAGGUGGUGAACUUAAUACGUUCAUCAAUUGACGUUACUCGCAGAAGAAGCACCGGCUAACUCCGUGCCAGCAGCCGCGGUAAUACGGAGGGUGCAAGCGUUAAUCGGAAUUACUGGGCGUAAAGCGCACGCAGGCGGUUUGUUAAGUCAGAUGUGAAAUCCCCGGGCUCAACCUGGGAACUGCAUUUGAAACUGGCAAGCUAGAGUCUCGUAGAGGGGGGCUAGAAUUCCAGGUGUAGCGGUGAAAUGCGUAGAGAUCUGGAGGAAUACCGGUGGCGAAGGCGGCCCCCUGGANGAAGACUGACGCUCAGGUGCGAAAGGCGUGGGGGAGCAAACAGGAUUAGAUACCCUGGUAGUCCACGCUGU
Molecule: ribosomal RNA, 459 nt
Filed under: uncultured bacterium
Lineage: Bacteria
Description: partial 16S ribosomal RNA
Rfam family: Bacterial small subunit ribosomal RNA
Source: RNAcentral